Non-coding RNA from Stegodyphus mimosarum, 73 nucleotides. The record is from Rfam. Lineage: Eukaryota; Metazoa; Arthropoda; Arachnida; Araneae; Eresidae.
GCUUUCGUGGUGUAAUGGUCAACACGCUCGGCGCUUAUUCGAGAAGUCCGUGGUUCGAGUCCCGGCGAGGACA